CACUAAUCAAACCUAUUGAAAAGAAGUGAAGUUGCAUUCUGUCUUGAACAAUUGCUGAAGAAACACUGUUGGAUUUGCUACAGACAAACGAGGAAUGCAGACUAACAUGCAGUCCAAAAGUGACCAGGUAAUUAUAAUUGGCAUAUAUCAUCUCAUCCUUGUAAAUACAUAAUUUGUAAUGAUUGAAUGAAUGAAUGAAUGAAUGAAUAUGAUGAUGAAAUAAAAUCACAUUAAAUAAAAAAGUUACAAAAGGUUAUAGUUUAAGGUAUGACAUAAACUUGACAUUCAAAUAUUUCUUUCUUUUUUCCUUUUUUUUUUUUUUUUUUUACAAUUCAUUCAUAUGAAAACCAACGAUAUUACUCAUUAAUUAAUUUAAUCAGAAUGGUACAUGAGAUGGUGUUGCAG
Molecule: long non-coding RNA, 405 nt
Organism: Ictalurus punctatus (channel catfish)
Lineage: Eukaryota; Metazoa; Chordata; Actinopteri; Siluriformes; Ictaluridae
Source: Ensembl